RNAcentral lists this ribosomal RNA (342 nucleotides) under Escherichia coli. Its description in RNAcentral is "bacterial LSU rRNA". It matches the Rfam family "Bacterial large subunit ribosomal RNA", at positions 2607 to 2925 of the family's 2925-position model. The record is from RNAcentral. Lineage: Bacteria; Pseudomonadati; Pseudomonadota; Gammaproteobacteria; Enterobacterales; Enterobacteriaceae.
GGGUUUAGAACGUCGUGAGACAGUUCGGUCCCUAUCUGCCGUGGGCGCUGGAGAACUGAGGGGGGCUGCUCCUAGUACGAGAGGACCGGAGUGGACGCAUCACUGGUGUUCGGGUUGUCAUGCCAAUGGCACUGCCCGGUAGCUAAAUGCGGAAGAGAUAAGUGCUGAAAGCAUCUAAGCACGAAACUUGCCCCGAGAUGAGUUCUCCCUGACCCUUUAAGGGUCCUGAAGGAACGUUGAAGACGACGACGUUGAUAGGCCGGGUGUGUAAGCGCAGCGAUGCGUUGAGCUAACCGGUACUAAUGAACCGUGAGGCUUAACCUUACAACGCCGAAGGUGUUU